GCGCGAUGGCGGCGGCUGCCGCCGAGACCCCCGAAGUCCUUCGGGAAUGCGGUUGCAAGGGCAUCCGGACCUGUCUGAUCUGCGAGCGGCAGCGCGGCAGUGACCCGCCCUGGGAGCUGCCCCCAGCGAAAUGAUUUUCACCUUUAUUAUGCAUCUAUUUUCAUGGGGUUUCCCGAUAUCUCACUGUCCAGUCCCUUCAUUUGGGGAAUGUGUUGGAUUAGGGAACAGGGUUGAAGAUUUGAAGUUUAGACUAAAGAGCUGGGAACAGCUUCAGAGUCAGGCUCAGCCUGACUCAUGCUUGACACCCCCACGCCCAGGGAGGGUUGGGGGAUGUGAGGAGGGCAGGGAAAUCUGAGAGCCUCCUUCCAGCCCCAUAACGCUGUUAACAAGUAGGAAAAAUUAAAGCUCCCGGCCAGGCGCGGUGACUCACACCUGUAAUCCGAGUACUUUGCGGGGCUCAGGUGGGAGGAUUGCUUGAGGCCAGCCUGGGCAACAUAGUGAGACCCCCAUCUCUACAAAAAAUACAAACAUUAGCUGGGCGUCUGGGCAUGGUGGCACACACCUGUAGUCCCAGCUACUCGAAAGGCUGAGGCGGGAGGAUGGCUUUACCACCAUGUCAAGGCUGCAGUGAGCUCAUGAUCAUACCACUGCACUUAACUUGGCAACAGAGCAAGACCCUGUCCCUAAAAUAAAUAAAAGG
This 700-nucleotide long non-coding RNA is filed under the name Homo sapiens (human). RNAcentral describes it as "non-protein coding lnc-POLR2J-2:1". The record is from RNAcentral. Lineage: Eukaryota; Metazoa; Chordata; Mammalia; Primates; Hominidae.